GCCCCGGUAGCUCAGCAGGAUAGAGCGGCGGUUUCCUAAACCGCAGGCCACCAGUUCGAGUCUGGUCCGGGGUA
This 74-nucleotide transfer RNA is filed under the name Paeniglutamicibacter antarcticus. RNAcentral's name for it is "tRNA-Arg". It matches the Rfam family "tRNA". From Rfam's summary of the family: Transfer RNA (tRNA) molecules are approximately 80 nucleotides in length. Their secondary structure includes four short double-helical elements and three loops (D, anti-codon, and T loops). The record is from RNAcentral. RNAcentral also lists the same sequence under 1 other name. Lineage: Bacteria; Bacillati; Actinomycetota; Actinomycetes; Micrococcales; Micrococcaceae.